Molecule: ribosomal RNA, 2962 nt
Filed under: Candidatus Omnitrophota bacterium
Lineage: Bacteria; Pseudomonadati; Candidatus Omnitrophota
Description: 23S ribosomal RNA
Rfam family: Bacterial large subunit ribosomal RNA
Source: RNAcentral
GAUCAAGCUACAAAGGGUUUAUAAUGGAUGACUUGGCAGACACAGGCGAUGAAGGACGUGGUAAGCUGCGAUAAGCUUCGGGGAGCCGCAAAUAGGCUUUGAUCCGGAGAUCUCCGAAUGGGACAACCCAACUGGACUCAUAUCCAGUUAUUUUACGCUGAAUCCAUAGGCGUAAAAAGCUAAACGAGGCGAAUUGAAACAUCUAAGUAGCCUCAGGAAAAGAAACCGAAUGGGAUUCUCUUAGUAGCGGCGAGCGAAGAGAGAACAGGCUAAACCAGCAGGCUUGCCUGCUGGGGUUGCGGGACUUCAAUGUGGUAUGCAAUGAGAUAGCAGAGGUGUUUGAAAAAACACGCCAUAGAGUGUGAGAGCCACGUAUGCGAAAUCUCAAAGCGGCCUAGAAGGAUCCCAAGUACUGCCGGGCACGGGAAAUCUGGCAGGAAUCUGGCCCGACCAUGGGCUAAGCCUAAAUACUCCGUCUGACCGAAAGUGGACAAGUACCGUGAGGGAAAGUUGAAAAGAACCCCGGGAGGGGAGUGAAAUAGAACCUGAAAUUAUAAACCUACAAGCUGUCGAAGGCCUAUGUUUGCCGCAAGGCAAAAAUGGCUAACGGCGUACCUUUUGCAUAAUGGACCAACGAGUUAUUAUGUGUUGCAAGCUUAAGUCCCUUCUGGGACGCAGGCGCAGGGAAACCGAGUCUGAAUAGGGCGACCAAGUAGCACAUAAUAGACCCGAAACCACGUGAUCUAUCCAUGGCCAGGUUGAAGCUUCGUGAAAACGAAGUGGAGGACCGAACCCAUUAUCGUUGAAAAGAUUCGGGAUGAGCUGUGGAUCGGAGUGAAAGGCUAGUCAAACGUGGCAAUUGCUGGUUCUCCCCGAAAUAGUUCUAGGACUAGCUUCGAGGAAUUACUAAGCGGGGGUAGAGUUACUGAAUAGGCUAGGGGCCUUACCAGGCCGCCAAACCUAACCAAACUCCAAAUACCGCUUACUGUAUCUCGGAAGUCAGAGUGAGAGGGCUAAGCUUCUUGCUCGAGAGGGAAACAGCCCAGACCAUCGAUUAAGGUCCCUAAUAUAAGCUAAGUGGUAAAGGAAGUGAGAUCACACAGACAGCCAGGAUGUUGGCUUAGAGGCAGCCAUCAUUUAAAGAGUGCGUAACAGCUCACUGGUCGAGUGAUCUCGCGCCGAAAAUGAUCGGGGCUCAAGCUUAUAACCGAAGUCAUGGCUUCGUUUGUCUUCGGAUAAACGAGGGGUAGGGGAGCGUAGUGCUAAGCGUUGAAGGCAUACCGAGAGGAAUGCUGGAGUAAGCACUAGUGAUACUGUUGGUAUGAGUAGCGAAAACUACAGCGAGAAACUGUAGCACCGAAAAUCUAAGGUUUCCUGGGGAAGGUUAAUCCGCCCAGGGUUAGUCGAUCCUAAGGUGAGGCCGAAAGGCGUAAUCGAUGGAGGUCAGGUUAAUAUUCCUGAACCGACUACGAACGUUAUCACCUUGAUGUGACGCAGGAGGCUAGGCCAUGCGCAGUGUUGGAUGUCUGCGUCCAAAGCCGUAGCUCCGUCGCAAGACGGGGUAAGAGCUGACGGGGACCUCAAUCGCAAGUGCGAGGGAAGUGGCGAAUGCCAGGCUGCCGAGAAAAACCAUCAAGGGAGUCUCGUGGUCGAUCGUACCGGAAUCCGACACAGGUAGAUAGGCAGAAUAUGCCAAGGUGCUCGAGAGAAUCCUCCUUAAGGAACUAGGCAAAAUCACCCCGUAACUUCGGGAGAAGGGGUGCCAAAUGGGUGUAGGACAUCACGUCCGAAGCCCGAAUGGUCACAGUAAAGAGGCCCGGGUGACUGUUUAGUAAAAACACAUCACUCUGCUAACUCGAAAGAGAACGUAUAGGGUGUGACACCUGCCCGGUGCUGGAAGGUUAAGGGGAGAGGUCAUUUGCCGCAAGGCAGAGAAGCUUCGAACUGAAGCCCCAGUAAACGGCGGCCGUAACUAUAACGGUCCUAAGGUAGCGAAAUUCCUUGUGGGGUAAGUUCCCACGCGCACGAAUGGUGUAACAACUUGGGCGCUGUCUCGAGGAGGAACUCGGCGAAAUUGUAGCGGCGGUGAAGAUGCCGUCUACCCGCACCAAGACGAAAAGACCCCAGAACCUUUACUGCAUUCUGGUAUUGGAUUUGGAUUUUGACUGUGUAGCAUAGCUGGGAGGCUUUGAAGCUCCGGCGUUAGCCGGGGUGGAGCCAUCAGUGAAAUACCAGCCUGUUGAUAUCUAGAUUCUAACUCUGCUCUGUGAAACCAGACAGGAAACAGUGCCAGAUGGGCAGUUUGACUGGGGCGGUUCCCUUCUAAAGAAUAACGAAGGGGUCCAAAGGUUCCCUCAGGACGGUCGGCAAUCGUCUGUAGAGUGCAAAGGCAUAAGGGAGCCUGACUGCGAGUCCGACAGGACGAGCAGGCACGAAAGUGGGGCUUAGUGAUCCGGUGGUUGAAUGUGGGAUUGCCAUCGCUCAACGAACAAUAGGUACUCUGGGGAUAACAGGCUGAUCGCGCUCGAGAGUUCAUAUCGACAGCGCGGAUUGGCACCUCGAUGUCGGCUCAUCCUAUCCUGGGGCUGUAUAAGGUCCCAAGGGUCCGGCUGUUCGCCGGUUAAAAGGGUACGUGAGCUGGGUUUAGAACGUCGUGAGACAGUUCGGUCUCUAUCUGGUGUGGGCGCACGAUCAUUGAAGAGAAGAUCUCCUUAGUACGAGAGGACCGGGAGAUACGAACCUCUGGUGUUCCAGUUAUCCUGCCAAGGGUAAUGGCUGGGUAGCCAUGUUCGGAAGGGAUAAGCGCUGAAUGCAUAUAAGCGCGAAGCCUAUCUCAAGAUGAAUGAUCGAUCCCCCGCAAGGGGGUGAAGGCACGUUGUAGACUACGACGUUGAUAGGCCGUAUGUGUAAGGUCCGUAAGGAUUUUAGCUAAACGGUACUAAUCUGCCAAAUGCUUGAUCAU